GACGAACGCUGGCGGCGUGCCUAAUACAUGCAAGUCGAGCGGAACUGGGGGAGCUUGCUCCUUCCAGUUUAGCGGCGGACGGGUGAGUAACACGUGGGCAACCUGCCCUGCAGAUCGGGAUAACUCCGGGAAACCGGUGCUAAUACCGGAAAGUUUGGCGCCUCUCCUGAGGCGCUACGGAAAGACGGUUUCGGCUGUAACUGCAGGAUGGGCCCGCGGCGCAUUAGCUAGUUGGUGGGGUAACGGCCAACCAAGGCGACGAUGCGUAGCCGACCUGAGAGGGUGACCGGCCACACUGGGACUGAGACACGGCCCAGACUCCUACGGGAGGCAGCAGUAGGGAAUCUUCCGCAAUGGACGCAAGUCUGACGGAGCAACGCCGCGUGAGUGACGAAGGUUUUCGGAUCGUAAAACUCUGUUGUGAGGGAAGAACACGUACCAACUAACUAUUGGUACCUUGACGGUACCUCACCAGAAAGCCACGGCUAACUACGUGCCAGCAGCCGCAGUAA
This 512-nucleotide ribosomal RNA is filed under the name uncultured bacterium. RNAcentral describes it as "partial 16S ribosomal RNA". It matches the Rfam family "Bacterial small subunit ribosomal RNA", at positions 28 to 523 of the family's 1533-position model. The record is from RNAcentral.